RNAcentral lists this ribosomal RNA (433 nucleotides) under uncultured bacterium. Its description in RNAcentral is "partial 16S ribosomal RNA". It matches the Rfam family "Bacterial small subunit ribosomal RNA", at positions 29 to 507 of the family's 1533-position model. The record is from RNAcentral.
AACGAACGCUGGCGGCAUGCCUAACACAUGCAAGUCGAACGAGACCUUCGGGUCUAGUGGCGCACGGGUGCGUAACGCGUGGGAACCUGCCCUUAGGUUCGGAAUAACUCCCCGAAAGGGGUGCUAAUACCGGAUAAUGUCUUCGGACCAAAGAUUUAUCGCCUUUGGAUGGACCCGCGUUGGAUUAGCUAGUUGGUAGGGUAAAAGCCUACCAAGGCGACGAUCCAUAGCUGGUCUGAGAGGAUGAUCAGCCACACUGGGACUAAGACACGGCCCAGACUCCUACGGGAGGCAGCAGUGGGGGAUAUUGGACAAUGGGCGGAAGCAUGAUGCAGCAAGGACGGGUGAGUGAUGAAGGCCUUAGGGUUGUAAAGCUCUUUUAACCGGGAUGAUAAUGACGGUACCGGGAGAAUAAGCUCCGGCUAACUCCGUG